This 443-nucleotide ribosomal RNA is filed under the name uncultured bacterium. RNAcentral describes it as "partial 16S ribosomal RNA". It matches the Rfam family "Bacterial small subunit ribosomal RNA", at positions 338 to 795 of the family's 1533-position model. The record is from RNAcentral.
CCUACGGGAGGCAGCAGUGGGGAAUAUUGGGCAAUGGGCGCAAGCCUGACCCAGCAAUGCCGCGUGAAGGAAGAAGGCCCUCGGGUUGUAAAGUUCUUUUAGCAGGGAGGAAGGAUGUGACGGUACCUGAUGAGUAAGCUCCGGCGAAAUACGUGCCAGCAGCCGCGGUACUACGUAGGGCGCAAGCGUUAACCGGAGUUACUGGGUGUAAAGGGCGCGUAGGCGGGAUGGCAAGUCAGAGGUGAAAUCCAGGGGCUCAACCUCUGAACUGCAUUUGAAACUGUCGUGCUAGAGUGCUGGAGAGGUGGGCGGAAUUCCUAGUGUAGCGGUGAAAUGCGUAGAUAUUAGGAGGAACACCAGUGGCGAAGGCGGCCAACUGGACAGCAACUGACGCUGAGGCGCGAAAGCGUGGGGAGCAAACAGGAUUAGAUACCCCAGUAGUC